This 424-nucleotide ribosomal RNA is filed under the name uncultured Clostridium sp. RNAcentral's name for it is "bacterial SSU rRNA". It matches the Rfam family "Bacterial small subunit ribosomal RNA", at positions 354 to 794 of the family's 1533-position model. The record is from RNAcentral. Lineage: Bacteria; Bacillati; Bacillota; Clostridia; Eubacteriales; Clostridiaceae.
UGGGGGGAUAUUGCACAAUGGGCGAAAGCCUGAUGCAGCAACGCCGCGUGAGGGAAGAAGGUUUUCGGAUUGUAAACCUCUGUCCAAAGGGAAGAAAAAAUGACGGUACCUUUGGAGGAAGCUCCGGCUAACUACGUGCCAGCAGCCGCGGUAAUACGUAGGGAGCGAGCGUUGUCCGGAUUUACUGGGUGUAAAGGGUGCGUAGGCGGCGAUAUGGGUCAGACGUGAAAUACAUGAGCUUAACUCAUGAACUGCGUUUGAAACUAUGUGGCUUGAGUGAAGUAGAGGCAGGCGGAAUUCCCGGUGUAGCGGUGAAAUGCGUAGAGAUCGGAGGAACACCAGUGGCGAAGGCGGCCUGCUGGGCUUUAACUGACGCUGAGGCACGAAAGCAUGGGUAGCAAACAGGAUUAGAUACCCUGGUAGU